UAUAUAGAUAAAGGUCACAAUUAAGUAAGAUAAUGUGUUGAAUGAAAUACCUUCGUUGUAGAUAAGAAAUCAUCAGUUAACAUAUUCUUUUUGUAAGUAUGUGUGCCUCGGUCGUUUUAAGAAUAUUUGUUCUCGGGGUUUUCCAUUACAUUAGCCAUAUUGGACGAGAGAGUCACGUGUCAACUUAGUACAGACGAGAUUACUAAACUUGAGUCGUGUCGAGUUAAUGGCAAUUGGGCACAGUGGAGUGAUUGGCAAAUAUGUUCAACUACUUGUGGUUCCGGUUUAACUAAAAGUUCAAGGAAGUGUGUGAGCCCAACAACACCUUCAAUAUUGAGCCAAGGUUGUCAAGGCGACGAAAAUGAUUACAGUUUGUGUUUUAAUUC
Ruditapes philippinarum (Manila clam) is the source of this 386-nucleotide long non-coding RNA. RefSeq lists it as uncharacterized. The record is from RefSeq and is a predicted model, not a curated record. NCBI's taxonomy places the organism in Eukaryota, Metazoa, Mollusca, Bivalvia, Venerida, Veneridae. The transcript is spliced from 3 exons.